Molecule: ribosomal RNA, 360 nt
Filed under: uncultured bacterium
Lineage: Bacteria
Description: bacterial SSU rRNA
Rfam family: Bacterial small subunit ribosomal RNA
Source: RNAcentral
AACGAACGCUGGCGGCAUGCCUAACACAUGCAAGUCGAACGAAGCCUUCGGGCUUAGUGGCGCACGGGUGCGUAACGCGUGGGAAUCUGCCCUUAGGUACGGAAUAACUCAGGGAAACUUGUGCUAAUACCGUAUGAUGUCGAGAGACCAAAGAUUUAUCGCCUAGGGAUGAGCCCGCGUAGGAUUAGCUAGUUGGUGGGGUAAAGGCCUACCAAGGCGACGAUCCUUAGCUGGUCUGAGAGGAUGAUCAGCCACACUGGGACUGAGACACGGCCCAGACUCCUACGGGAGGCAGCAGUGGGGAAUAUUGGACAAUGGGCGAAAGCCUGAUCCAGCAAUGCCGCGUGAGUGAAGAAGGCC